GAGUUUGAUCGUGGCUCAGAUUGAACGCUGGCGGCGUGCUUAACACAUGCAAGUCGAGCGGUAACAGGCGUAGCAAUACGUGCUGACGAGCGGCGAACGGGUGAGUAAUGCUUCGGAAUCUUCCUCGUAGUGGGGAAUAACCUGGGGAAACUCAGGCUAAUACCGCAUACGAACUACGGUUGAAAGCGGGGGAUCGCAAGACCUCGCGCUAUGAGAUGAGCCGAAGUCGGAUUAGCUAGUUGGUGAGGUAACGGCUCACCAAGGCGACGAUCCGUAGCUGGUCUGAGAGGACGACCAGCCACACUGGGACUGAGACACGGCCCAGACUCCUACGGGAGGCAGCAGUGGGGAAUAUUGGACAAUGGGGGCAACCCUGAUCCAGCGACGCCGCGUGUGUGAAGAAGGCCUGCGGGUUGUAAAGCACUUUUAGUGGGGAUGAAAAGCCGAGGGCUAAUACUCUUCGGUCUU
This 468-nucleotide ribosomal RNA is filed under the name uncultured Gammaproteobacteria bacterium. RNAcentral describes it as "bacterial SSU rRNA". It matches the Rfam family "Bacterial small subunit ribosomal RNA", at positions 9 to 471 of the family's 1533-position model. Lineage: Bacteria; Pseudomonadati; Pseudomonadota; Gammaproteobacteria. The record is from RNAcentral.